This 609-nucleotide ribosomal RNA is filed under the name Triticum aestivum (bread wheat). RNAcentral describes it as "partial small subunit ribosomal RNA". The record is from RNAcentral. Lineage: Eukaryota; Viridiplantae; Streptophyta; Magnoliopsida; Poales; Poaceae.
AUGUUGGAGGGGUCAGAGAGUAAUGUUUCGAACCUCAAGUUCCUCUUAUUGUGCUUCUGGCAGAUGUCCGGCCUUUGGAUCAACUUCGAUAAGAGUGAGGUGAUAGUCUUGGGCUAUGCCCAAGACGAGCGACAAAGCAUAGCGGAUCGACUUAAUUGCCAGCUUGGGUGUUUCCCCAAGACGUAUCUAGGGAUACCCAUUAGUGACGCCAGGCUUACGGUGGCCGAGCUGCGCCCCAUAGUGGGGAAGCACCAGCACCGUAUUGAGCCCUGGCAGGGUCGGUGGCUUUCAAAAGCGGCCCGUACGGUGCUCAUUAACUCGUCCCUCUCCAGCCUCCUAUUAUUCAUCAUGAGCUUCUACAGCCUUCCGGAGACUCUACAUCACGAGAUUGCCACCGUUCAGGGGCGUUUCUUCUGGGCUGGCGAGGGGGAUAAGCAGAAGUACCACAUGGUUAGGUGGUCUGAGAUCUGCAAACCUCGCGACCAGGGCGGCCUCGGGAUCAUGUCCUCCAAACGCAUGAACAUUGCCCUUCUGACUCGAUGGCUCUGGCGGAUAGGCAAUGGAGAUGGUGGCCUGUGGCUUCGCAUCAUUCAGCAGAAAUACCUCUGA